GUGUGGCUCGGUCAGUAGAUCAUGAGACUCGUAAUCUCAGGGUUGUGGGUUCAAGCCCCACGUUGGGCA
Podarcis lilfordi (Lilford's wall lizard) is the source of this 69-nucleotide non-coding RNA. The record is from the annotation of a GenBank genome assembly. Lineage: Eukaryota; Metazoa; Chordata; Lepidosauria; Squamata; Lacertidae.